This 57-nucleotide transfer RNA is filed under the name Camelus ferus (Wild Bactrian camel). It matches the Rfam family "tRNA", at positions 8 to 63 of the family's 71-position model. From Rfam's summary of the family: Transfer RNA (tRNA) molecules are approximately 80 nucleotides in length. Their secondary structure includes four short double-helical elements and three loops (D, anti-codon, and T loops). Further hydrogen bonds mediate the characteristic L-shaped molecular structure. tRNAs have two regions of fundamental functional importance: the anti-codon, which is responsible for specific mRNA codon recognition, and the 3' end, to which the tRNAs corresponding amino acid is attached (by aminoacyl-tRNA synthetases). tRNAs cope with the degeneracy of the genetic code in two manners: having more than one tRNA (with a specific anti-codon) for a particular amino acid; and 'wobble' base-pairing, i.e. permitting non-standard base-pairing at the 3rd anti-codon position. Lineage: Eukaryota; Metazoa; Chordata; Mammalia; Artiodactyla; Camelidae. The record is from Rfam by way of RNAcentral.
UGGCUCAGUGGUAGAGUGCAUGCUUAGUAUGUAUGAGGUCCUGGGUUCAAUUCCCAG